RNAcentral lists this long non-coding RNA (286 nucleotides) under Gossypium barbadense (sea-island cotton). RNAcentral's name for it is "long non-coding RNA (GBAR_LNC008782)". Lineage: Eukaryota; Viridiplantae; Streptophyta; Magnoliopsida; Malvales; Malvaceae. The record is from RNAcentral.
ACGAGACCUUCCACGUGAGGCUUUCAAGGGAGGUUUCAUUUUAGAGAAGAUUGCAAUGCCCCUUUCCACUGGCCACCUCAACCUAAUCAACACAAACAUCGACAACAACCCUUCGGUUACCUUCAACUACUUCGGCCACCCCCGCGACCUACGCAGAUGCGUCAAUGGGAUCCGGAUGGCUGCCAAGGUUAUACAAUCGGACCGAUUCACGAACUUCACCAAGUGUGACAAACCGACCGUAGAGAAGCUUCUUAACAUGAGUGUCAAGGCUAACAUUAACCUUAUA